GAAUUUUGGACAAUGGGCGAAAGCCUGAUCCAGCAAAGCCGCGUGCAGGAUGAAGGCCUUUGGGUUGUAAACUGCGUUUGUACGGAACGAAAAGCUUUGGGUUAAUCACCUGGAGGCAUGACGGUACCGGAAGACAAAGCACCGGCUAACUACGUGCAGGCAGCCGCGGUGAUACGUAGGGUGCAAGCGUAAAUCGGAAUUACUGGGCGUAAAGCAUGCGCAGGCGGUUUUGUAAGACAGAUGUGAAAUCCCCGGGCUCAACCUGGGAACUGCCUUUGUGACUGCAAGGCUAGAGUACGGCAGAGGGGGGUGGAAUUCCGCGUGUAGCAGUGAAAUGCGUAGAUAUGCGGAGGAACACCGAUGGCGAAGGCAACCCCCUGGGCCUGUACUGACGCUCAUGCACGAAAGCGUGGGGAGCAAACA
Molecule: ribosomal RNA, 423 nt
Filed under: uncultured bacterium
Lineage: Bacteria
Description: partial 16S ribosomal RNA
Rfam family: Bacterial small subunit ribosomal RNA
Source: RNAcentral